GAGGUCAUCCCUGGUCAAGAAGCCCGCACCGCCACCUCCCUGCAGGGCCAGGCCCACUCUGCCGUCCUUACCCACUCCUCCUGUCUGGCGCUGGAGAGACACGGCGUCUGGAAACUCUGUCCCAUCCCAGGUCUCAGGGCCCAUCAGUGUCCAGCAGCACCCAGGGACACACCCAGACGUGUGGAAGCAGCAGGGCCUGGGUGGAGGACUGGGUUCCACCAGGACUGGGGUCUUUCCAGAAGGACACAGGGAAGGAGAGAGGGAGGUGCGGUGCAGACAAGGAAAGGGUGGAAGGGUGGGGCUGGGGGAGAAUGGGCACUGGAGAUGGAGGUGGGCUCUGCUGGCCACAAGGGCGGGGAAGGUGGAGCGGAGUCAGCGUCCUCUGCCAGUGCCUGGGAUCCUGCACCCUGGAGGCAGCCUUGCGAUGAGCCCUGCUGCAGGCCUGUGGACGUGACGUGAGCCCCACCGUUUCAUGGCCGCCCCGCUCCCUCUGUUAGAGUUUGGCCUGAGUCCAUUUGUACUGGCAGCUUCCACAACACCCACUGAGAUCCACGCCAAUGCGCCCCUCCCACGAGAACCCAGGUCACUCCCACUUGGUGACUGCGGACGAACUUUCCGGGUGUCACAUUGGUCCAGUCCCAGGGGGCUUCCAUCUGGAUUCCAGCCCACCCCCAUGCACCGGACGCAGGAGCCCUGGGUGCCGGCCACUCCAUGAAGGCG
This 720-nucleotide long non-coding RNA is filed under the name Macaca mulatta (Rhesus monkey). RNAcentral describes it as "lncRNA (ENSMMUG00000056423.1)". The record is from RNAcentral. Lineage: Eukaryota; Metazoa; Chordata; Mammalia; Primates; Cercopithecidae.